AAACAAAUGUACCAUCGUGAUGUUUUAACCUCUUCUUUAACAGGCUAUGUUACAAUGCACGCCAUAAGAGAGGACCGCAGUGCUGUCAUCUGUCCUAAACUCCAACUGGACGCUGGUCGAGCCAGCACAGACUGCUGCCAUGUUACUACAAACGGUGAGCUAGUCACCUCGCCGCCCGCCACAACACAGGGGCCGUGGCAGACUACAGGAAUUGAGGGGCACGUGUAGCUCCACCCACCAUCCCCUUCCUCCAUCCCCCUCUAGUGUCACUCCUGUCCCCCACACAACACGAUACUGGGAGACCAACACCAGGGUGGGUGUUAAGCGUGGAGUGUGGUGGGGUCCUGUCCUGGAGGUAGGUGUGGUGGAGAAGAGCCAGGUAGACAGUGAGGUGUGUGUUUCUUACCAGCUCUGGCUCCUGGUGUGUGUCAGUGUAGGGGCUGUGACACACACCGGCGGAGUCUCUGUACCAGGGUGUGUCUGGACUGGGAGGAGGAGAAGUGUUACAGAAACACAAUGUCUGCCACACCCGGCACACAGGCCACCCUCCACUAUGGCGUUGUGUUGGAUGUCGGGAGGGGUAGAAUAGGAUUUAUUGACGUGGACAGGUCGGUUGUUUUAGGGAAAGUUGAUGUCGAGUUCAAGGAGAAUCUUCUCCCUGUUUUGCUGUUUGUCCGGACAGUGACCAUGUCACAGUAAACAUGAAGGUGGUCAGUGGGGAGAGAUCCUCAUGUCUGACAUCAAGAAAUAUCUCAUUAAUGAAGUCCUGGCCUAAGAAAUAAACUAAACAUGACCCAGUGUAAACUUGUAAAAUAUCACACAUCUACUUUAUCAGACAAAUUCAAUACAACAGAACUGAAAGAAGCGGACAUAGAAGUUACCUGUUCAUGUGUUGUAUGUUGUGUACAACAAUGUAACAAGGUUA
This 925-nucleotide long non-coding RNA is filed under the name Haliotis rubra (blacklip abalone). RNAcentral's name for it is "uncharacterized LOC124271783". The record is from RNAcentral. Lineage: Eukaryota; Metazoa; Mollusca; Gastropoda; Lepetellida; Haliotidae.